AUAACGACUCUCGGCAACGGAUAUCUCGGCUCUCGCAUCGAUGAAGAACGUAGCGAAAUGCGAUACUUGGUGUGAAUUGCAGAAUCCCGUGAACCAUCGAGUCUUUGAACGCAAGUUGCGCCCGAAGCCAUUAGGUCGAGGGCACGCCUGCCUGGGCGUCUCAC
This 164-nucleotide ribosomal RNA is filed under the name Capurodendron androyense. RNAcentral describes it as "5.8S ribosomal RNA". It matches the Rfam family "5.8S ribosomal RNA". From Rfam's summary of the family: 5.8S ribosomal RNA (5.8S rRNA) is a component of the large subunit of the eukaryotic ribosome. The record is from RNAcentral. Lineage: Eukaryota; Viridiplantae; Streptophyta; Magnoliopsida; Ericales; Sapotaceae.